CCAACUAGUGCAUGCCGACAUAUGUGGUUCAAUGCAAAUGUUAUCUCACAACAAAAGUAGUUCUCAUCUUUUUGUUGAUGAUUUCAAUAGAGGACCUGCAAGAACAUGGAACAGGAACACAAAGCUCCCUCAUCUGAUACGAAGCUCCAGAAGACCGGUGAGUAUUUUCUCUCUGUACAAGGUCAAAAUGAGAAGCUGAAGGUAAAUUCAUUUACCAACUUUGGUUCUGUAUUUUAUAGCACAGUGACCAGUUUAGGACCCUCUUGAUAUUUGACAAAAUGAAGAUUGCAUGUGGCAAAAUAACUGGAUUCCUAGCUAGAAGGAAAAAUCUUGACUAGAGGGGUUUUUAUAGGAUUGAUCGAACAUUGUGAUUUGCAAUGACAAGAGAACCAUGACGAUGAAUCAAUAAAAAUUGGAAUAGUAGGCUAUAUCAAGUGAUAUUUGUCGCAUUAUUGAAUGUGCUUGUGAAGCUGAAUACAAGGUUGUGGAUUCAUUUGAUUGAUGGGGUUUUGAACCAAUAUGAGUGUAAAGGCAUCGGGGUUCAACAACAUCCAAUUUGAUUGGGCUCAUGGCUCAGCCCAUGCUCACACUACCAUAUUCUAAGAUUGUGAGGCCUCAAAAAAGCUUUAGGAAACCUACAUGUCCUGUGUGUCUUUUUCAGGGUGAACUAUUUUUUCUUAAGGAUUUUUUAUUAUAUGUAUUUGUAAUGCUAAAUUACAAUUUAGUGUAACACUUUGGUGUAGU
Molecule: long non-coding RNA, 744 nt
Organism: Vitis riparia (riverbank grape)
Lineage: Eukaryota; Viridiplantae; Streptophyta; Magnoliopsida; Vitales; Vitaceae
Exons: 4
Source: RefSeq, a predicted model, not a curated record